GUUUGCUUUGGCCGCACAUAUACUAAAAUUGGAAUGAUACAGAGAAGAUCAGCGUGAGCCCUGAGCAAGAUGACAUGCAAAGUCAUGAAGCGUUCCAUAUUUUU
This is a small nuclear RNA of Suricata suricatta (meerkat), 104 nucleotides long. Lineage: Eukaryota; Metazoa; Chordata; Mammalia; Carnivora; Herpestidae. The record is from Ensembl.